AAGCGGAGGAAAAGAAACCAACAGGGAUUGCCUUAGUAACGGCGAGUGAAGCGGCAACAGCUCAAAUUUGAAAUCUGGCUCUUUCAGAGUCCGAGUUGUAAUUUGCAGAGGGCGCUUUGGCGUUGGCAGCGGUCCAAGUUCCUUGGAACAGGACGUCACAGAGGGUGAGAAUCCCGUACGUGGUCGCUAGUCAUCGCCGUGUAAAGCCCCUUCGACGAGUCGAGUUGUUUGGGAAUGCAGCUCUAAAUGGGAGGUAAAUUUCUUCUAAAGCUAAAUACUGGCCAGAGACCGAUAGCGCACAAGUAGAGUGAUCGAAAGAUGAAAAGCACUUUGGAAAGAGAGUCAAACAGCACGUGAAAUUGUUGAAAGGGAAGCGCUUGCAGCCAGACUUGCCUGUAGUUGCUCAUCCGGGCUUUUGCCCGGUGCACUCUUCUGCGGGCAGGCCAGCAUCAGUUUGGGCGGUUGGAUAAAGGUCUCUGUCAUGUACCUCUCUUCGGGGAGAACUUAUAGGGGAGACGACAUACAACCAGCCUGGACUGAGGUCCGCGCAUUUGCUAGGAUGCUGGCGUAAUGGCUGUAAGCGGCCCGUCUUGAAACACGGACCAAGGAGUCUAACAUCUAUGCGAGUGUUUGGGUGUCAAGCCCGAGCGCGUAAUGAAAGUGAACGGAGGUGGGMCCCGUAAGGUGCACCAUCGACCSAUCCUGAUGUUCUCGGAUGGAUUUGA
RNAcentral lists this ribosomal RNA (725 nucleotides) under uncultured fungus. RNAcentral describes it as "eukaryotic LSU rRNA". It matches the Rfam family "Eukaryotic large subunit ribosomal RNA", at positions 48 to 793 of the family's 3401-position model. The record is from RNAcentral. Lineage: Eukaryota; Fungi.